AGUGGUUGGCAGGCAGCAAAGGGCUUGAGUCUGAUCCUCACCACUCCUGUAGGACACUGAGCCCAGAGACAGGAAUCUGUCACGCCAGCACCACAGGGGAUGGAGACUGGCAAGAUCUGGGAGGUCAUUGACCUGCCAGCCUAGAGAAACCACUGUGAGCCAUGAUUCAGCACAUAACAGCACUUGCUGUAUAAGCCUGGCAAACUGAGUUCAAACUCCAGAAACCAUGGUGGAGAGACCCGAAUCCCGAAGGUUGUCCUCUGAUGUCUAGGCCUAUGCGUGACACAGCUGUGCCCACACUCACACAUAUACAUACACAGAAACAUAUACAUAUACAUGUAUACAUGCACAUACACAUAAACACCAGUAAUACUUUUUUUUUUUUUUUUUUGGUUUUUCGAGACAGAGUUUUUCUGUAGCCCUGGCUGUCCUGGAACUCACUCUGUAGACCAGGCUGGCCUCGAACUCAGAAAUCCGCCUGCCUCUGCCUCCCGAGUGCUGAGAUUAAAGGCGUGAGCCACAAUACAUUUUUUAAAAAAGUUUAAAACUUUAAAUCUGGGGUGUGUGUGUGGGAAUGAAGAGCCAUUGAGAAAGACACCCAAUGCUGACUGCUCACCUCCCCAUGAACACACAUUUGUACACAAUAAUACGUGUAUGUUCCACAUACAUAAAAUCUAGCCUAGAAUCACCUGAGUAGAAUCUCAAGGUUCUACAUUAGGUUGUACAUUAGGUUGGCCUGUGAGAGAGUACUGUCUUAUUAAUUGACAUGAAAAGACCUAGCCCACUAUGGGGGGCACCAUUCUCUACGCAUGGGGUCCUGAACUGUGUCCGUUGACAUGAGCAAACAUGUGAGGGAGCAUGCAUGUGUUUACUUCUCUCUGCUCUUGACUGAAUGCCAUGUGUCCAGCUGUCCAAGUUCUUGUCUUGACUUCCCCAUGGAGAAGGACCUCGACCUGGUGCUGUUAGCUGAAGCACCUUCUUUCUCCUCUGAGUUACUUAGGGCAGG
This 1006-nucleotide long non-coding RNA is filed under the name Mus musculus (house mouse). Its description in RNAcentral is "long non-coding RNA chr7:45597695-45598701". The record is from RNAcentral. Lineage: Eukaryota; Metazoa; Chordata; Mammalia; Rodentia; Muridae.